AAUAUGGCGCAAUGGAGGGAACGCUGACGCAGCGACGCCGCGUGAGCGAUGAAGGUUUUAGGAACGUCCAGCUCUGUCCUUGGGGAAGAAGGCGGCCAUUUUUGGCCACUUGACGGUACCCAAGGAGGAAGCCCCGGCUAACUACGUGCCAGCAACCGCGGUAAUACGUAGGGGGCAAGCGUUGUCCGGAAUUAUUGGGCGUAAAGGGUGCGUAGGCGGCCUUUUAAGUCAGAUGUGAAAGACCACGGCUUAACCGUGGGGUUGCAUUUGAAACUGGAGGGCUUGAGUAUCGGAGAGGGUAGUGGAAUUCCCAGUGUAGCGGUGGAAUGCGUAGAUAUUGGGAGGAACACCAGUGGCGAAGGCGACUACCUGGACGAAAACUGACGCUGAGGCACGAAAGCUAGGGGAGCAAACA
Molecule: ribosomal RNA, 415 nt
Filed under: uncultured bacterium
Lineage: Bacteria
Description: partial 16S ribosomal RNA
Rfam family: Bacterial small subunit ribosomal RNA
Source: RNAcentral